RNAcentral lists this ribosomal RNA (484 nucleotides) under uncultured bacterium. RNAcentral's name for it is "partial 16S ribosomal RNA". It matches the Rfam family "Bacterial small subunit ribosomal RNA", at positions 30 to 507 of the family's 1533-position model. The record is from RNAcentral.
AUUGAACGCUGGCGGCAGGCCUAACACAUGCAAGUCGAGCGGAUGAAGGGAGCUUGCUCCUGGAUUCAGCGGCGGACGGGUGAGUAAUGCCUAGGAAUCUGCCUGGUAGUGGGGGAUAACGUCCAGAAACGGGCGCCAAUACCGCAUACGUCCUGAGGGAGAAAGUGGGGGAUCUUCGGACCUCACGCUAUCAGAUGAGCCUAGGUCGGAUUAGCUAGUUGGUGGGGUAAAGGCCUACCAAGGCGACGAUCCGUAACUGGUCUGAGAGGAUGAUCAGUCACACUGGAACUGAGACACGGUCCAGACUCCUACGGGAGGCAGCAGUGGGGAAUAUUGGACAAUGGGCGAAAGCCUGAUCCAGCCAUGCCGCGUGUGUGAAGAAGGUCUUCGGAUUGUAAAGCACUUUAAGUUGGGAGGAAGGGCAGUAAGUUAAUACCUUGCUGUUUUGACGUUACCAACAGAAUAAGCACCGGCUAACUUCGUG